Long non-coding RNA from Oreochromis aureus, 702 nucleotides. RefSeq lists it as uncharacterized. The transcript is spliced from 6 exons. Lineage: Eukaryota; Metazoa; Chordata; Actinopteri; Cichliformes; Cichlidae. The record is from RefSeq and is a predicted model, not a curated record.
AAAGAUAUAAUGAAAAGUAAUUAAUAAAAAUUAAAUAUUUAAACAUUCCCACAAAUGUGCAAUGAACGUGCAAAAAUUCUCUUUAUUAGUUGUUGCUGUUUCUUUCUUUCUUUCUUUCUUUUUUUUGAAAAAUAACGACGUCUCUGAGGCGCGAAUUCCGACAGCGAGAGGAACGGCCGGAUACAGGAGACGGGAAGAAACAAGCCGAUUAUGUUCGCUUUAAUUAAGUGGUUGGAAGAUGUAAAAUUCUCAAUUCUGCCAACUGAACAUAUACGAGAUUUUAAUGAGGAUGAAUAAUCAGCCGGCAUGGAGGAAACGGACCUUUAUUUGGUGGAGUGGCGACAAGAAGCCAAAAGGCGGGUGGCCGGUCUAUGAAGCCUCCAUCAUCAAGCUAGCAGAAAUCCCACCUCUCCUUCUGGCUACAGAGUACUUACCAAGCCCAUGAAAUCGAAUGCAGAUCUUCCUGAUGUGAGAUUUACAUAAAUAUGUCAAAGUCUCAACCUCAUGCUGCCCUCCCCCAUCCUCCUAAACCUGUGGAUACAAAUGCAGAUUUCCUUAAUGUUCAAUGGUGCGUGUUCUUCUAAUGGCCGCCUUCCCACUGGAGGUUUUGAUCCACAGCAAUUUAAAAGGUAAACAGCUUUGAAAGUCAGUUCAAAUGGUUAGCUAAUAGUAUUCUAAAAAGCCUACAACUCUGUCACCAGU